Molecule: ribosomal RNA, 253 nt
Filed under: uncultured bacterium
Lineage: Bacteria
Description: partial 16S ribosomal RNA
Rfam family: Bacterial small subunit ribosomal RNA
Source: RNAcentral
UACGUAGGCAGCGAGCGUUGUUCGGAGUUACUGGGCGUAAAGAGUGCGUAGGCGGUUUUCUAAGUUUGGUGUGAAAUCUCCCGGCUUAACUGGGAGGGGUCGCUCGAUACUGGCGAGCUCGAGGCAGGUAGGGGGAAGCGGAAUUCCAGGUGUAGCGGUGAAAUGCGUAGAUAUCUGGAGGAACACCGGUGGCGAAGGCGGCAUCCUGGACCAACACUGACGCUGAGGAGCGAAAGCCAGGGGAGCAAACGGG